ACAUUAUCUGAAUUUAUUCAAAAUUGAAGUAGGGCCCUUGAACAACACCGGCUCACCGGCAGCAGUGAAAAUGGUGACAUCACCUAAGACUUCUCCGAUGUCUGCGGAGAAAUCUUCUGCGGUGGCUCUUGCAAGAAAACGAGAUUCAUUGACGGCAAUGUUUCUCGAUUUGAAGGAGAAAUUUGUGGCGAAAGUAAGAGGACGAGGCUUGAAACACCAAUUUGAAAGAAAACGGCAAGCGAAUUUGAGAGAGUGAAGUGAAUCAAAGGAGAGAGAUAUGGUUGAUGGUAGAGCUCUUGCGGAGACUGUAGCCAUAGCUCCCGACUCGAGUAUCCAUUUUUUCUGAAAAACCAAUAAACCAAGUGGCGGGAGGAGACGAGACGACAGCGUUUAGUGGUUUGUGUUAUGGCCCCAAUAAAAUGGGCACCUAAAAACACACACAAUUACAGUAGGAUGGAUGAAUUCUCCAUAUCUAGAUGGGAUAUACGGAGUUUUUGACCACCAACUGCCAGCUGCAUUGAAAAAGCUCAACAUUGAUCGGCAUCUCUCUACAAGAGGCCACCAGCCACAUCUAAUUGCUCCUGUACAACGGAAGACUCAUUGAUGGGUCUAUCAGCUUUUUCAAAUGCCCAGCUGAAGCUUCUGUGGAUGCUGAGUUAAGGCGGUUUCUAACUCUUCGGUGUGACAUAAUUGCUGCUGCAAAUGAUGCUUCGGAAAGAUUCCUUGAAGAAGGCAGGAGAACAGUUUUAAGGCUGGUGGAUAUGGAAUCUAACAACCUGAACGUUGAAUUUUUUCAUCUUAAACUAGAGAAGAGUCCUAAUCAACAAGGCCCAAAUGCACCAAAUGGACCAAAUCCUCCAAAUCAGGAUCGAUCUUCUGAGAAUCAUUUUAGGAAAAUUGAAAUUGUGUUAGGGCGAAGAUAUAUGCGAGGAGGAGAAAUAAGAAGGAGAAAGGAAGUUUGGGACUUGGCAGCAAUUUAGCAGAUACACAAGUCAACCGACAAGCAAAGGACAAGGCAUUAAUGCAACUGCAAAUGGGAGAAGAAGCAGCAUGCAGGCAACAGGAGCUGGGGUCCACGAAGAUGCGCAAUGCUGAGGUGGCGACGCUGGAUUGGAAGAGCAACUGUGAAGGAAGAUGGCAUCAUGUUAUAGGCCUGGAGACAAUGGAAGAAGGCAGGAAAAAUCACAGAAUAGGAAAGGAAUCAGGGAGAGUCCCAGCCUCUUGAAUGCUGGAGGGUCUUGUGUUCAUCUUGUGAUGUUCAUUGCUGUGAUGUUUUUUGAGAGUAGGUUGUUUAACUGCUGUAAACAGUUAAUCUGAACUCUGGGAAAAUCUUUUGUAACUGCAUUUCAGAAAAAAAUAUUAUUAAUGCAAGCUUUGAUGUUUUUGCCAA
Molecule: long non-coding RNA, 1390 nt
Organism: Mangifera indica (mango)
Lineage: Eukaryota; Viridiplantae; Streptophyta; Magnoliopsida; Sapindales; Anacardiaceae
Exons: 3
Source: RefSeq, a predicted model, not a curated record